UACAGGGGGUGCAAACGUUGCUCGGAAUUAUUGGGCGUAAAGAGCUCGUAGGCGGUGUGUCGCGUCGGCCGUGAAAACCUGCAGCUUAACUGUGGGCUUGCGGUCGAUACGGGCAUCACUGGAGUUCGGCAGGGGAGACUGGAAUUCCUGGUGUAGCGGUGAAAUGCGCAGAUAUCAGGAGGAACACCGGUGGCGAAGGCGGGUCUCUGGGCCGAUACUGAUGCUGAGGAGCGAAAGCGUGGGGAGCGAACAGG
This 254-nucleotide ribosomal RNA is filed under the name uncultured bacterium. RNAcentral's name for it is "partial 16S ribosomal RNA". It matches the Rfam family "Bacterial small subunit ribosomal RNA", at positions 524 to 776 of the family's 1533-position model. The record is from RNAcentral.